GUUAUUAUUGUCUUUGGUUUUUUGUUUUCUUUUCCUUAAAAAAACUAGAAAAUGUUUGGUGAAAUCAUUUGAUUUCUGUUUCCUCUGCUUUUUUUUACAAGCGAUUUUAAAAAUAAAAACAGUGAAACAAGAAGCCCAAAAGCAAGGUUUCGUCUUUUUUGCUUCUCAUGUUUGUUCUCAUAUGUCCAUUUAAAGACCAAAUUAAACCCUCCUCUUUUAUCCUCCAUUAUAAUCUUGCACAAUCAUCCACUAUCUCUCUCCUACUUAUUGCAGGCAUCACUUGGCAUCUCCAUUAUCAUCACUGAACAUCUAUCGUUCUCACCUAUUUCAGGAAAUUAAUAAUACUUUUUGAUAUUGUUAAUCAACAAUGAACAAUCAUCUACCCUAUUCAAUUUCAUCUUUUUUCCAACACAUCAACACCAGAUUCAGCCAUUAAAUAGCAUGUAGCAAUCCCUUAUAUCUCUCUUAUCAUCAUCCUCUUAUUGUUUAGAUCCUUUUUUUUUCUUUUUAUCUCCAAGGAUCAAAUGUGGAAGAAAAUUUAUAAUUCUUUAUUUUAUUUUGAGGCCAAGCUGUUACCACACGAGGGAAAACAUAGUAAGCUUGAUUUUUGGCCAUGAGUUGGGGUAAUCUCAAAAUCAUUAUCAAAGCUACUGCAAACAAUUGGUAAAGGGAAUU
RNAcentral lists this unclassified non-coding RNA (675 nucleotides) under Hevea brasiliensis (rubber tree). The record is from RNAcentral. Lineage: Eukaryota; Viridiplantae; Streptophyta; Magnoliopsida; Malpighiales; Euphorbiaceae.